Camellia sinensis is the source of this 536-nucleotide non-coding RNA. NCBI's taxonomy places the organism in Eukaryota, Viridiplantae, Streptophyta, Magnoliopsida, Ericales, Theaceae. The record is from RefSeq and is a predicted model, not a curated record.
CAGAUUAUAGAGAGAGAGUGGGUAUACUAUGAAUCCUUUGAUAAACUGUAAGCAAUUUGAAGUUAGUUUUCCAUCAAUACCCUUGCAUCCAAAGAAGAAAAUGUAUAAAGCACAAGGCCAAAAUCAACUUUUCAACUAUUCAAAAAAUACUGCUCAUAUUUGGCUGAAAUUACUGUUCACCUUGCAUCCGUGCUUUAUAUAUAUUUUAUAGAUUUGUGAAUUGGGCUAAAGUUGAAGUUGUGCAUUGUUUUCCGAACUGGCAGACAGGAAAAUUGCUUAAAGAGUCCGACAAGGAAACUGGUCACAAAAAGACAAUUACAUCACUCACAGAAUCUGCAGAUAGCUCACAUCUUCUCACUGGUUCCCUAGAUAAAUCUGCUAAGCUUUGGGACAUCAGAUCUUUGACACUUAUCAAGACCUAUGUGACGGAACGUCCAGUUAAUGUAGUUGCUAUGUCUCCACUUCUUGAUCAUGUGGUGCUUGGAGGUGGUCAGGAUGCUUCAGCUGUCACAACUACUGACCAUUGUGCUGGAAAG